RNAcentral lists this non-coding RNA (283 nucleotides) under Dorea sp. RNAcentral describes it as "T-box sequence". It matches the Rfam family "T-box leader". Rfam says of the family: Uncharged tRNA acts as the effector for transcription antitermination of genes in the T-box leader family. T-boxes are found upstream of many aminoacyl-tRNA synthetase genes and some amino acid biosynthetic genes usually in Gram-positive bacteria. The record is from RNAcentral. Lineage: Bacteria; Bacillati; Bacillota; Clostridia; Lachnospirales; Lachnospiraceae.
AAAAAGACAUUGAACGGAAAGAGUAGCAGGCAAUGAAACCGACAGAGAGAAGCUGCCGCCGGCUGAAAGCAGCUUUGGGGAAGAAGGACUGUGAAGUGCGUCCGGGAGUCGAUCCGGCGAAGGGAUACGAGUCUUUGUAGCCGGAUACGGGUUUACACACGUUAUGUGUAUCAGAGCGGAGAAUUAAGAUGGAUUUUCAGGCUGAUUAUUUUGGCGGGAUGCGGAUAAGACAUCAGGAGUUCUCUAUGAGAGUGGAACCGCGGAGUGAUGCUUCGUCUCUUGA